RNAcentral lists this ribosomal RNA (57 nucleotides) under Prosorhynchus sp. ex Plectropomus areolatus TLM-2012. RNAcentral describes it as "partial 28S ribosomal RNA". It matches the Rfam family "Eukaryotic large subunit ribosomal RNA", at positions 1 to 57 of the family's 3401-position model. Lineage: Eukaryota; Metazoa; Platyhelminthes; Trematoda; Strigeidida; Bucephalidae. RNAcentral also lists the same sequence under 1 other name. The record is from RNAcentral.
UGACCUCGGAUCAGACGUGAUUACCCGCUGAACUUAAGCAUAUCACUAAGCGGAGGA